AUUGAACGCUGGCGGCAGGCUUAACACAUGCAAGUCGAGCGGGGUGAUGGUGCUUGCACUAUCACUUAGCGGCGGACGGGUGAGUAAUGCUUAGGAAUCUGCCUAUUAGUGGGGGACAACAUUUCGAAAGGGAUGCUAAUACUGCAUACGUCCUACGGGAGAAAGCAGGUGACCACUUGUGACCUUGAGCUACUAGCUGAGCCCUAGUCGGUUUAGCAAGUAGGUGGGGUAAAGGCCCACCAAGGCGACGAUCUGUGUCGGGUCUGAGAGGGUGAUCCGCCACACUGGGGCUGAGACACGGCCCAGACUCCUACGGGAGGCAGCAGUUGGGAAUAUUGGACAAUGGGGGGAACCCUGAUCCAGCCAUGCCGCGUGUGUGAAGAAGGCCUUAUGGUUGUAAAGCACUUUAAGCGAGGAGGAGGCUCUUUUGGUUAAUACCCAAGAUGAGUGGACGUUACUCGCAGAAUAAGCACCGGCUAACUCUGAGCCAGCCGCCGCCGUAA
This 503-nucleotide ribosomal RNA is filed under the name uncultured bacterium. RNAcentral's name for it is "partial 16S ribosomal RNA". It matches the Rfam family "Bacterial small subunit ribosomal RNA", at positions 30 to 523 of the family's 1533-position model. The record is from RNAcentral.